UAUGAAGGUUAGGUUUGCCAGACUGAAAACCUGUCGAUCCCCAGGUGUUUUGGCUUACCAUUCCCAGAAACCCCAGCCAGUUUACCAGCUAUUAGGAUUUCUGGGAGUUGAAGAUCAAAACAUCUUGGGACCCAAAAGUUGAGAACCACUGCUCUACAUGAACAAUUUAUCAAGCACUCAUUUCCCCUAUAUGGUGUAAGGCCAAGGAUCCUACUGGAGAUGACCAUGCCUCAGAGUAUUCAGUGCACCAACCAUAAUGCCCCCGCCAACCUGAUCUAUGGACCAUCAACAAAAAAAAGGUACACACAUCCAACCCUAGCCAAACUUGUUCACAUAAUGAUAAACAAUGGUUGAAGUAUUUAAAGCCAACAUGGUGAUUCGAGAGUUCAACUAAGACACAGGGAGAUCAGAGUUUCAAUCCCUGCUCAGACCUGGAAGCCUACUAAGUGAUUUGGGGCAAGUUAAAUUCUUCCAGAGAAAGGCAAUGGAAAUCUGCCUUUGAAGCAAAAGAAACCCUUUCAUAGGUUCACCAUAAAUUAGACCUGACCUGAACCAAAAAUGGUUUCAGCAUUACUUUUAAAUCAGAACUUGAACAUGAAGUUUUGGUCUUCUGCUAUUUACUGAUUAUGCUGGCUGAAAAACCUGUUAACUGUAAUAGAUACGUACUUUUUUCAAGCUCUGGUCUGAACCUGUUAAUUGUAACCUAAAAUGUUUAGAUGCUGAUACAAUGUCAUGAAUCAUUAGACCGAGAAAGUGGAACAAUUGUCACACAGCCAUGACAUGAUUAUGUGAACAUUUGAUGACUCCUACCGCACUUUUUGCUCUUCUUUACGCACAAACACAAUUCUGUUCUCUCCACUGGCUAAUCUUUCCAGGAAGAAUGAGAAAAUAUGUUCAUCUGGGAUGAAAAGUGUUAAAUGUCAAGAUAAAAUGAAUAUUUUUAUUCAUGGUCUAUAGUCAAUAAAGUUGGCCAAAGCAAAUCCAUAAAUAAACAUCAGUGGGGAGAAACAUCUAGGAAAUCAAAGUACCUGCAGGAAUUACUUAUUCCUUCAUUAAUGUUAAGCAGGAAAUCUGGCAAAGUGCCACAUUUUUUUCAUUAAAACAAUCUCCCAAAAUAUCAAUUUACAUAAUAAAACUGUCAAGGCUACAGUUAUCAUUUAUUCUUUUAUUAUGAUCAUCUAACAAUUAUUGCUGUAAUGUAGGAUGGCCUAGAGACCAGUGAGGCAGAUCUAGGCUACUAAAAAUAAAACUUUAAAAGUCCCUCUGUUGUCGGUCUGGGACAUAUUUCCUUACAAACUCAGCCAUAAUGAUGACAUGGAAUAUUCCCAAAUAUUCUAGUAGUUGAGGGAACUGAACUGUUUGUAAAAAGGUGAGAAAGGCCUUUUGAUUUAAGCUUCCUGUACUAAGAAUGUCAUGCUCUGACAGCAGCCCCUACCUGCUUGACCUUAAUGGCUAUGAGGACAAACUUACAAAUUAAAGACAAUGUUUGAUAACAAUUCAAAUUGUGGGAACUUAACAGUUAAAUGUUUGAUUCUUUUCUAUUGACUUUCACAGUUACAGAAAAAUUUUAAAAUCUGAUGAUAACUUGUUCAAUAGUCAACAGUAGGAAUAUAAAACUUUCAUUAUAUUGCUUUACAUGUAAAAAAUCCGAAGUAUUAUCCCUCCUGGGUGAAAUUACAAGAAUUUGUAUCCCCUUUUGAGACUUUGUAGACCCUAGGAUGUUUCUGUGAAAAAUUUAGGAAGAUUUUUGGGGUAUUUAAAAUUGCACUUUGUGAAAAAAUGCAAUAGUUUUGCACAAAAAUAUAUACUGUUAGUUUAAGAAAGCAACAAAAAUGAAAAAGACAUGGUUAGUAAGUUUUUGUUCUGUGCUGCAGCAUGUCCACUGAGUUACCCUUUCUGAUCUAUGAGAAAAAAUGGGAAUAUUAUUUCCAUCCUUAGUCAGCAUCAUGCUCUCCAUCUCUGUGUUCUUUCUGAUGAGUAACAGAAAUCAAGUUUGUAAAUACUACUAACAUAUCUAUGGGACAUAUGUUUCAAGAUCCUCCCUGGAUAGCUGAAGUUGUGAAUAAUAGUGAACACUAUAUUUUGAGAAUAUUUGGGUCAGAUGCAUACCAUAGAAUCAAACUGGAGGACCUAGAGAAGCCCAUGAACAUUUCCGGAGGGGAGGGGUAUAUUUUUGAAGUGUGGCUAAGUGAAACUAUGGGUAUCAAAUCUGUGGAUAAAGGGAUUGUAUUGUACAUGAAAACCAGUUUGCUUUGCAUGGUUUACAUAGGUCACAGAAUUCAGACUUUCUACUUGCCUAGACUGGUUCAUCAAUGUACGAUAUUCAAUGGCUACUGACCCUGAUGGUUUUUUUUUGCCAUCUUUCAGUGCAGAGGCAUUACAUCCCUGAGCACCAAUAGUUUGAAAGAGCACUUGGAUAUGGUUAUUGCCAUCAUAUUCUAUUUUUAGGUUGCUCAAAGGAACCCGAUUGGCCAUUAAGGGAGAGGAGAAGUUGGAUUCCAUAGCCCUCUUGUUAUGGUUGAGCCUUCGGGUUCCGGUAAUAGAAGAAGGGGUCGUAAGACUCCUCGAGAGUCAGACUCCUUCAAGGAGCGUGAAAGAAAGCGGCUCCGGGAUUUGUUUGCAGCCCCGACAGAUGAGGACUCAUUUGAGGGUUUUUCUGAGGGUUUGGAGGAAGAGAUGGCCAGCUCGGAGGAGGACGACAUGGAAUGGACUCGUGUGAGGGAGGAUUUGGGUGUUGGGGAAACAGGCAAUGAAAGCAUGGGAGGUGAUUGGCGGGUUGCAGGAUCAGACCCAUGGACUGGCUGGAGGGAUGGAGCGGGAUCCACAGCUGGGGAUGCUGUGGGGCGUAGUCAAAGGUGCUUAAGCUCUGAUGAGGAUGAUGAUGUUGGGGCGCCUGGAAUUGGGAUGGCAGCUGACAGCGAUGAUGAGCUUGAACUGGGAUAAAAUGGGGUUUGGGAUCAAUGUCUAAUUGCGUUGGGCAAGGUAAUCUGGACAGACGCUUGGGCUUUUGUUGGGGAACUUCCUGAAGACGGGUGUGCUUCGUUACUGGAUACCUUGGACCUCCGUCGUCUUUUUGACGGGCAAUACCUACUCACACUGGAUUGACGCUGGACUGACUGACUUCGAUUCCGGAUUAUCCCUUCUGCUGGCUAUCGGUGAGACCUUUGGAUUCCUUGACGACUACGCUUGGCUAAAGACCUCUGGACCGGAUUGGGACCCUGCUGACUGCCGUUACCCUGACUACGACCACGCUUUUCGUUCGCUGCAGGAAGGAAUAAACAAGCCUGGUUUAUCCCCCUGCUGUUUCUGAAUAGCAGAGAGGAAUCUGCCACCAGUCUGUUGUUUACAUUCUCAUUCCUGCUGAUUCUCUUUUGUUUGCAUUGUUUGCCAGGCUGAAGUAAGCACUUUUGAUUUAAUCCGGAUUAUACUUCUGUUUAACCCGGUUUAUCCAUUUGAACUAUUUAAGCUCAAACUGAGCUGUUUUUUGUUACUUGUCACACUGAAGUCAAGUGUUUGCCCUGUUCUUUGUUUCCUACGGGCAUUUUUUAGUUCUGUAACCUCAAUAAACUGAGUUUUGUUUUA
Molecule: long non-coding RNA, 3582 nt
Organism: Anolis carolinensis (green anole)
Lineage: Eukaryota; Metazoa; Chordata; Lepidosauria; Squamata; Anolidae
Exons: 2
Source: RefSeq, a predicted model, not a curated record